UAAAUUGAGAGUUUGAUCCUGGCUCAGGACGAACGCUGGCGGCGUGCCUAACACAUGCAAGUCGAGCGAUGAAGCUUCGGGGUGAAUUAGCGGCGGACGGGUGAGUAACACGUGGGUAACCUGCCUUAUAGAGGGGGAUAGCCUUCCGAAAGGAAGAUUAAUACCGCAUGAAAUGUUUUUAUCGCAUGGUAGAAACAUCAAAGGAGUAAUCCGCUAUAAGAUGGACCGCGGCGCAUUAGCUAGUUGGUGAGGUAACGGCCCACCAAGCGACGAUGCGUAGCCGACU
Molecule: non-coding RNA, 286 nt
Filed under: Clostridium sulfidigenes
Lineage: Bacteria; Bacillati; Bacillota; Clostridia; Eubacteriales; Clostridiaceae
Description: Bacterial small subunit ribosomal RNA
Rfam family: Bacterial small subunit ribosomal RNA
Source: Rfam by way of RNAcentral